CCUAGUUAAUUCUACUAGUAGUUAUAUACUUAUCUUAAAGAUUAAGCUAUACAUAUCUAAGUAUAAGCAAUUAUAUAGUAAAACUAUAAAUAGCUUAUUAUAUAAGUUAUCGUUUAUUUAAUAGUACCUUACUACUUAGAUAACCAUAGUAAUUCUAGAGCUAAUACAUACUAAAAAUCCUAACUUACGAAAGGAUAUAUUUAUUAGAUUAAAAACUAAUACCCUUCAGGGCUCCUUAGUGAUUUAUAAUAACUCCUCGAAUCGUAUGGCCUUGUGCUAGUGAUAGUUCAUUUAAAUUUCUUCCCUAUUAACUUUCGAUGUUUAGGUAUUAGCUAAAUAUGGUUGUAAUAGGUAAUAGAGGGUUAGGGCUCAACCCUGGAGAAGGAGCCUAAGAAAUGGCUAUUAUAUCUAAGGAAGGUAGUAAGCAUACAAAUUACCUAAUCCCAAUACAGGGAGGUAGUAAUAAUAAAUAUUAAUAUAGGGCUCUUUUAGGUCUUAUAAUUAGAAUAAGUAUAAUUUAAAUCCCUUAAUAAGGAAUAAUUAGAGGGUAAGUCUAGUGCUAGUAGCCACGGUAAUUCUAGCUCUAAUAGCAUAUAUUAAAGUUAUUAUAGUUAAAAAGCUCAUAGUUAAACCUUAGGCCUAGCUAGCCAGUCUACCUUACCGUAUAUACUAGUCUAGCUAAGCCUUUCCCUCUAUAGAACCCUAUACCCUUUACUAAGUAUAGCAGGGAAAUAGGACUUUUACUUUAAAAAAAUUAGAGUGCUCUAGGUAAGCCUAUACUUAAAUAUAUUAAUAUAGAAUAAUAGAAUAGGAUGUAUGGUUCUAUUUUAUUAGUUUCUAGGACUACUAUAAUAAUUAAUAGGGAUAGUUAGGGGCAUUAGUAUUUAAUUAUUAAAGGUAAAAUUCUUAGAUUUAUUAAAGACUAACUACUAUAAAAGUAUUUACUAAGGAUAUUUUUAUUAAUUAGGAAUAAAAGUUAGGGGAUCAAAGACAAUUAGAUACUAUCGUAGUCUUAAUCAUAAACUAUACUAACUAGGGAUUGGAUAAUGUUAUUUUUUAACUUAUUCAGUACCUUAUGAGAAAUUAAAGUGCUUAGGCUCUAGGGGGAGUAUAGUCAUAAGGCUAAAACUUAAAGAAAUUAACGGAAGGGCACCACUAGAGGUAAAUGUAACUCGUUUUUAAAGCUAUAGUUAACUCUACUCCUAAAAGCCGCCCGAAAGAGUUUAUAGUAUCCCUUAGCCUUAUGCUGAACUAAUAGCUAGUCCCCCCUUUCGUAGGGCAGGUAAUACCCUUAACUUAUAGAGAACCCUUAAAGCUAUUGCUCUAAAGCUAGCGCUCGAAAAACGCUAGUAGCUAGGUUAAUAGCCUUAGGUACUAGAAAAACGCAAUAGAUAUUAUAAUAGGCGAUCCGUAGCUAAGCCCCUAAGUGCUUCCCCCUUAGGGGGCAUAUAGAGAAGGUUUAGAGACUUGAUAGGGGUAGGUAGGCUCCUACCUACUUAAGAUAAAGUCUAUCCUUUCAUGAAAGCAUUAGUAGUCUUACAUAGCAAUGCGUAGGGCUUCCUAAUAAGAGCCUAUAGCUUAAUUUAACUUAAUACGGAGAAACUUACUAGGUCUAGAUAUAAUAAGGAUUAAUAGAUUAAGAGCUCUUUCUUAAUUUUAUGGGUAGUGGUAUAUAGCCAUUCUUAGUUAGUAGAGUGAUUUGUCUGCUUAAUUAUAAUAAUGAAUAAGACCUUAACCUACUAAAUAGCCUAUAUUGCUUUAGU
RNAcentral lists this ribosomal RNA (1763 nucleotides) under Neonectria punicea. RNAcentral's name for it is "SSU rRNA". It matches the Rfam family "Eukaryotic small subunit ribosomal RNA", at positions 3 to 1374 of the family's 1831-position model. Lineage: Eukaryota; Fungi; Ascomycota; Sordariomycetes; Hypocreales; Nectriaceae. The record is from RNAcentral.